RNAcentral lists this unclassified non-coding RNA (225 nucleotides) under Hevea brasiliensis (rubber tree). Lineage: Eukaryota; Viridiplantae; Streptophyta; Magnoliopsida; Malpighiales; Euphorbiaceae. The record is from RNAcentral.
GUGCCGUUUCAUUGUGAGGACAAAUAGAACAAUCCAAUAACAUAACAAUAUUGGCCAGAAAACAGGUACAUCCAAUACAGAGAAGAAGGUCAAAAGAAAAGCCACAACAAAAGCUUUUGUGAUGGCAUACCAGAACUUGCUAAACUCAGGCAGUCGGCGAAUAAAAGGCCUGAACUCAUCAGAACCUUUGGUUGGUAAGGAAGCCCCAUCCAACGCUUCAAGCUC